Molecule: ribosomal RNA, 465 nt
Filed under: uncultured bacterium
Lineage: Bacteria
Description: partial 16S ribosomal RNA
Rfam family: Bacterial small subunit ribosomal RNA
Source: RNAcentral
GACGAACGCUGGCGGCGUGCUUAACACAUGCAAGUCGAACGGAAAGGCCCUGCUUGCCGGGUACUCGAGUGGCGAACGGGUGAGUAACACGUGGGUGAUCUGCCCUGCACUUCGGGAUAAGCCUGGGAAACUGUGUCUAAUACCGGAUAGGAGCCAUCUUUAGUGUUAUGGUUGGAAAGUUUUUUUGGUGUGGGAUGAGCUCGCGGCCUAUCAGCUUGUUGGUGGGGUAAUGGCCUACCAAGGCGGCGACGGGUAGCCGGCCUGGGAGGGUGGACGGCCACAUUGGGGAUGAGAUACGGCCCAGACUCCUACGGGAGGCAGCAGUGGGGAAUAUUGCACAAUGGGCGCAAGCCUGAUGCAGCGACGCCGCGUGGGGGAUGACGGCCUUCGGGUUGGAAACUCCUUUCGCUAGGGACGAAGCUUUUUGUGACGGUACCUAGAAAAGAAGCACCGGCUAACUACGUG